GAUCCUUAACCUACUAAGCAAGGCCAGGGAUCCAACCCACAUCCUCAUGGUUCCUAGUCAAAUUGGUUUCUGCUGAGCCACGACGGGAACUCCCUGCAGUAAUUUUAAAAUUGCCUUCCCACAGCAUAUAGCGGCCAUCACUAGUAAUUAAUGCAGAGCUUCUUAUCAAUGUGAAUAUGUGUGGUUUGCUUUCUUCAUAUCUUUCCUCCACUCUCAAGCACACAUUUUUGAUGAGUGAUCUUUUAUUAUUCUAAUAGCUGUAAGGAUGCAUAUGAAACAGCUCGUCUUUAGAAUCUUCGAGCCAAUGAGAGAAAGAGGGUUCCAUCUCCAAACUAUGGCAAUGAUCUUUGCACCACAGGGAAUGUGGUCUGUGCCUAGAACCACCCAGAGCUCUAGACUCCAGAGGAGAAGGCAGCCCCCCGCCCUUGUGGGGAUGGUUAUGGCUUCCUGGAGGAGGCGGACAUUCAGAAGGGCCUCCGAAGAUGCGGAAGGCUUCCAUGAAGACAGAUUCGGUGGAGAACAGGAGUUCUGGGAAGGGGAGCCUCACAAGCACUUCCGGAAAGUCUCAGUUUAGCCGAAUGGAGGUACCGCUAGGGCAGAGAUGGAAGGAACAGAGCAGCUACAAAGGCUUUAAGUUUGUGUCGCUAUUUCCAGCACAACCCCUGGCACGUCCGUUAUCUCAUUCAACCUCCUUCAGCACCACAGGGAGGCAGGUCUUCAAGCAGAGGUGAGCCUUUGUGCUUCACUAGAGAAGAAGAGAAGCACUGGCGAGUUCCCGCUAGGAGAAGGGUGGUCAUGGUGCUGCCAGUACUUGGGAGGGGGUGGUGGGGACGGGGGUGGCUGUUGUGUUUGAUGUGCAUAAUGCCUACUUUCUUCUAGAAAUAGACCCUGCCCGACCUGUCAGGAUGAGAACUUCUGUCUGUGGGAUAUUUGGGUCAGGCCAGCAGGAGAACGGCUUUCUUUCCUCCCUGCUCUGAGGUCUAAGGUCUGGCCCAGAACUGGCACUUGCCUUGCUAUCUGGGGGGAUGGGAAGGCAGGAGAAGGGGCCACGUCCAAGUCCAGAGGCCCCCUGUGGCUCUGGGACUCGCCCCCAAAGACUCCCUAAAAACCCCCUUCCACUGAAGUCCCUUCUCUUUGGACUUCACCCUUUAUAACUGAGAGGGACCUCCCAAUACAGGUGGGCUGAGCAGGGGAGCUGGGGGCUUGGGGUCCAUUUAGGCGCUCUGCUCGUCUCAAAGUCUGUCUUAGCCUUUUCCUAAAAUACACCCUGUGCACCCUAAGUCUACAAAGUUCCCUUAAAAAGGGGAGGUCAACCAUUCAUUCAUUUAUUCAACAAAUAUGUACCGAGCACUUAGUGUUUGCCAGGCUGCACUCUGACUGUGAGGGGGAAGCUGGAAUGAGAGUCCAAACAGGUUUCUGUCUUUAUCGUGAACAUAGCCUCACGGGGCAGGCAGACUCUACAAAGUAAGCACAAUAAGAAAGCCUCAGCAUUCUGUCCUAGAAGGAAAACGUCACUUGCCCACAGUGACCCCAGGCUAUGCCCCAGGACCCUGCGGGGCCAGCACUGAGCGCAGGUCAAGCAUUUACUCGGAAGACGUCUGACAGAGAAGACAGGGUGGGGGAGAAAUCCACAGUAGUGGGGACAGUGGGAGAUUCUUGCUGGUCCUCUUUCUUCAAAUGGAGGUCUCCUCAUCUUUAGUGAUUCAGCACAUAAACGGAGCUGUUCCCAACAUCACUCUCGUGGACCUCCUGAAACCCUGUCACUGCGACCUUUCGGUUCCACUCCGCAAUUCUUUUGCCCUUGAGACCAUCAACGAACAGUGACCUCAAGUUCUGACAAUCAGAGAGACUGAACAACAAAAACUCGAAGGAAAGGGCCGGAAAUGAGCUUAGUGUGAAGCAAGAGGGGGAAGAGAUUAAAUCCACGUCCUAUCCAUUGCUAAUUGAUUUUUCUUGCGUGUUUUGACAAAUUGUUCCUCCCUAUACAUUUUGGACAUUUAUGAAGAAGUUAGAGGAAAUUCCUCACGCUCCGUAAGUUCUUGCUAUUUAUAUAUACAUAUGUAUAUUCGGUAUCAUUUUCGUCAUUUAAGAUCGGCAGCUGGCUGGGAUCGAUCCAGGGAUUUUGGCCUGGGUCACUGAGAUCCAUGGGCUCCGAGUGAAACCAGGGUUGUAACGAUGCCUCACGGUCUUCUGCUAAAUGUCAAGACCAGAGGUGACAUCCUGUUGAAACCAGGAGAGGAGACUCGGUGAAAUGUUCCAGGUGACGUCGAGGGAAGAGAAAAUGAGGCUUAAACACAAUCCCAAGUCAGGGCUUGAGACGGAGAGAUUUGCCCUGUUAGGGUAAUCAAUCCUACAGCCUGGAGGCACCCACAGCCCUACCAACACUCCCGAAAAUAUCCUAGGGCCCAAGACGCCCUGGGCUCACGGCGUCUGGCGGCUGCUUCCACACAGGCCCACCCUGGUCCGCUCCACUUCAACCCGGACACGGGACCCGGGCCCUCACUGGUUCUCCUUUACAAACGAGGUGUUUAAGAAGUUGGUAAACCUACCAAAGAACUGGGGGCCCACAUGCAGCACAGCCUACGCGACCCACAGAUGGACCCGCUGUCACCAUCAGUCACUCCUGGGCUCUGGGUCCUUGUCCACCGCAGCGCUGGGGCCUCGGAGUCAGCGCCCCAACUCUGCUCCUUCUGCUGGCUCCCACAUCCUCUUCUCUCUACCCAGGGACUGCCCCUUUGGCUGGGGCAACAUAAACCCUUGCCCCUGAGGCCCCAGGUCUCAACCCCUAUUAUUCGUGUGCAUCAAAGUAUUUUUCCAAAUCAAGACAGUUCCCUUCCUGGGAGAUAUUCUGGAGCGAAAUGUCAGGAUGGCUACAAGUCCUCCUCCUGCUGUGGUGCCUGUUACUUAAACAUGAGCUUUCUUAUUGCAGGGCAGGGGACAGCAUAAAGUCACGUCUGCCCCUUUCUCCUUUUCCUCCGUUACCCCAACAAGGCAGUGACUAUCUCCAUGUAGGAAAAGGAAAGAGGCGGAAGCCAAAAUCAGGACAGCGCUCAAGGGCAGUCUGGCAAAAGAACAGCCCUCCAGAGUGCACUUCCCU
This 3097-nucleotide long non-coding RNA is filed under the name Sus scrofa (pig). RNAcentral's name for it is "lncRNA (ENSSSCG00045009759.1, ENSSSCG00065078951.1)". The record is from RNAcentral. Lineage: Eukaryota; Metazoa; Chordata; Mammalia; Artiodactyla; Suidae.